Molecule: ribosomal RNA, 265 nt
Filed under: uncultured archaeon
Lineage: Archaea
Description: partial 16S ribosomal RNA
Rfam family: Archaeal small subunit ribosomal RNA
Source: RNAcentral
AGUCACUGACAUUAGAUACCCCCGUAGUCCAGGGUGUAAACGCUGCAGACUUGGUGUUGGAGGCCCUUUGGGGGCAUUCAGUGCCGGAGAGAAGUUGUUAAGUCUGCUACUUGGGGAGUACGUCCGCAAGGAUGAAACUUAAAGGAAUUGGCGGGGGAGCACCGCAACGGGAGGAGCGUGCGGUUUAAUUGGAUUCAACACCGUAAGACUCACCAGGGAAGACUGUUACAUGAAGGCCGAGAUGAAGACUCUGCUAGAUUUUCAG